AAUUUCUUUCAUGCAAUCCCUGUUCUAGGUUCAAGUUAAUUUCUAUUUUCUUUUUAUGAAAUCUUUUAAUUUUUUUUUAUGUAAUACAUUAAAUCUUCCUUUAUGUAAUUUGUGUUCACUUCAAUCUUCUUGUUUUCAUCCAUUUUAAUUUAUGCCAAAGCUUUUCUUUGAUUAGUUAAACAUAUAAAUGCUUUUCGAAUUUAAAUACCUGUCUUUUAGUUAAUUUCAAUUAAAAAAAUAUUCUCCGGUAGACUAGAGAAUCCAUCAACAUCCUCAAAAUAAUGUUUUUCUUUUAUCAUUCAAAAAUCAAUUUCAAAUCCGAGUGAACGUUCUAAUUUUUAUGCAACUCCAA
Molecule: long non-coding RNA, 352 nt
Filed under: Phoenix dactylifera (date palm)
Lineage: Eukaryota; Viridiplantae; Streptophyta; Magnoliopsida; Arecales; Arecaceae
Description: long non-coding RNA (PDAC_LNC016682)
Source: RNAcentral